GAUGAACGCUGGCGGCGUGCCUAAUACAUGCAAGUCGAGCGAACGGACGAGAAGCUUGCUUCUCUGAUGUUAGCGGCGGACGGGUGAGUAACACGUGGAUAACCUACCUAUAAGACUGGGAUAACUUCGGGAAACCGGAGCUAAUACCGGAUAAUAUUUUGAACCGCAUGGUUCAAAAGUGAAAGACGGUCUUGCUGUCACUUAUAGAUGGAUCCGCGCUGCAUUAGCUAGUUGGUGAGGUAACGGCUUACCAAGGCAACGAUGCAUAGCCGACCUGAGAGGGUGAUCGGCCACACUGGAGCGGAGACGCGGUCCAGACUCCUGCGGGAGGCAGCAGUAGGGAAUCUUCCGCAAUGGGCGAAAGCCUUACGGAGCAACGGCGCGUGAGUGAUGAAGGUCUUCGGAUCGUGAAACUGUGUUAUUAGGGAAGAACAUAUGUGUAAGUAACUGUGCACAUCGUGACGGUACCUAAUCAGAAAGCCACGGCUAACUACGUG
Molecule: ribosomal RNA, 497 nt
Filed under: uncultured bacterium
Lineage: Bacteria
Description: partial 16S ribosomal RNA
Rfam family: Bacterial small subunit ribosomal RNA
Source: RNAcentral